CCUUUAGAAAUUGAAAGAGGAGGAGAGGAGGAGAGACCCACAGUUGAUCUCUGAGAAGUGAGUAGCUGGAGGCACCAGGAUACCAGCCAAGCCUAAAGGAUAAAGCAAAUCCCUGGACAUGGCUUUUGAUUCCAAGCUAAGAAGUGCAAGAAGCUCUUCCAAAUACAACUGCAACUGCCAAGAGAUUGAUGGACCAGAGAAUGGCCUCUUCAUUCCAGGCACUUCUAAAGUCCAAGUGGUCAAAUACCAGCCUCUUUUUACCAAUGUUCCCACCUGUUUCAUUCAGCCAAAUUUCAUUAGAUGAAGGAAAGUGU
Molecule: long non-coding RNA, 314 nt
Filed under: Homo sapiens (human)
Lineage: Eukaryota; Metazoa; Chordata; Mammalia; Primates; Hominidae
Description: non-protein coding lnc-NOCT-1:5
Source: RNAcentral